Molecule: ribosomal RNA, 253 nt
Filed under: uncultured bacterium
Lineage: Bacteria
Description: partial 16S ribosomal RNA
Rfam family: Bacterial small subunit ribosomal RNA
Source: RNAcentral
GACGAACCGUGCAAACGUUGUUCGGAAUCACUGGGCUUAAAGGGCGCGUAGGCGGGCUCUCAAGUCGGGGGUGAAAUCGUUCGGCCCAACCGGACAAGGGCUUCCGAUACUGAGAGUCUCGAGGGAGGUAGGGGUCGAGGGAACUGGUGGUGGAGCGGUGAAAUGCGUAGAUAUCACUAGGAACGCCGGUGGCGAAAGCGCUCGACUGGACCUCUUCUGACGCUGAGGCGCGAAAGCCAGGGGAGCAAACAGG